Molecule: long non-coding RNA, 352 nt
Organism: Mauremys reevesii (Reeves's turtle)
Lineage: Eukaryota; Metazoa; Chordata; Testudines; Geoemydidae
Exons: 3
Source: RefSeq, a predicted model, not a curated record
CUGAGACUUCUUCUGGCUGAAGAUUUCUACAUUUAGUUUCUGUCAAAAAGAGAACUCUUUUGAAGACUAUGAAGAGGGUCAUUUACCACCGGCGCUACUCAGUGGUUAGGCAGGGCAUGGCGAGUCCUCUUCUUUCCUGGAACUCCUGUUGACAGCCAUGAGCUUGACCUGCAGUGACUCAGCCAUCCGGACAGGCCACACAUUCCAAUCCACCAAAGAAAGGAUGCUUUACUCAAAGAAAGAAGAGAUAAUUCUCUACUCUACAGGAACUGCACAAAAUUGGGAAGCCUGCCACAUUGUACUUCCUUCCAUUUUACUGAUGUACUACUAGACUGACAAAGCAAUAUACAAA